RNAcentral lists this long non-coding RNA (10793 nucleotides) under Solanum tuberosum (potato). RNAcentral describes it as "long non-coding RNA (STUB_LNC010266)". The record is from RNAcentral. Lineage: Eukaryota; Viridiplantae; Streptophyta; Magnoliopsida; Solanales; Solanaceae.
ACCAUUCCAAUGUUUCAAAAUCCAUUCAAGUUUAAGUGAUACAAUCAAAAAGGCCAAAACUAAAACUACAAGAAAUUAUAUUUAAUUAAGUUACUAAUCCAUGAUUUCCUCAUACCACAGCUUGGCCUUACCUCACAAUACAACACAAGGAUAAAACACUUUACCCUUUGCAAAAGGAGGGUUAGGAGACUAAUAUCAACAAGUUAACCCCCACAAUAAGACACUAAUCUAUAUUAAGCUAGCAAAAAAGUUUGUCUCAUAAUAUUUCAAUCUAAUUGAUGGCAUUUGACCUUUAUCCAAAUAGAAAGGCCCUUUUGCCCUUGCUGGAAGAUGUUGAAAGGAGUCGAAAGAAAUUUUUUUUUGACUGUUCAUAGCCUGUUUUACCAGGUGAUCCGCUACAUCGUUAGCCUCUCUAAAGUAGUGAGUUGCUUUAACAUUAGCUUGUUUCAUUCUUUGUUGUAUCUCCUCAAUGAUGAAAUUCAGCAUGUAGUUGGAUUACUGGUUGUUCAAAAUCAUAGGAAAUAGGUUCAAAGAGUCUCUCUUUGGUGAAAUUCUUCAGAUUUUUCAAAAUGCAGAGGCUCUUAGUCCAAAACUGGCAGCCUUAGCUUCUGCUUCUGUGAUGCUGCUACCACUCGAAGGUGAGGAGAAAGCGAAGAUGAGAUUGCCUCUAUCAUCCCUCAAAACUCCCCUCAUACCAAAUUUUCCACUAGCUGAGCAGUAGCUUCCGUCAGUUUUCAAUUUAAUGACGCCAUUUUCAGGGAACUUCCAGCAUACAAUAGAAAGGUUUGAGGCAGGUUUCAGCUUCACAAAUUUUUCACAAAGAGUGAUCCAAAGUUAUGUCGAACCAACUUUUGGAUAGCUUUAGCAAUUGUACUCUGAAUGCUGCACCCAAUGAGUUGGAUCAUCAUAUAUCUGUUGAGAUUCCUUAAGCCUCCAUAAUUACUACGCUCGGACCUUUGAUUCUAAAUCUCCAAGCAGAUAAGGCCUGGUAUAGUUUGAAGAACUAGCGUGUCGGUGGAGUUAUUUGAUUUUUGAUUCCACCAGUUGUAAGUUCUGAUUGCCAGUGGCCCUCCAAAGUGCUUCCACACAUAUUGAGCUGCCUCUCCAUGAAGAAAAACAUGUUGCAUUUGAUUUUCAAUUUAGGAAGAGAGCAGCAGUUGCAUAGAGUAUCCUUCAGAAUACCAAAUAUGCUAAUGACUUAGUCAAAGGAAAAUUUUCACUGCCAGAAUUUCCAAACGAAAAAUGAAAUCUUAAAAGGAAUGUUGGAGUUCCAUACCUGAUCAAUAUUGUGGUCUGUUAGAAUAUUUCCCAUCUUCUGUGAGGUCCCAAAAGACCUUAUCUUGAGUGUCAUACUUGCCAAUUCCAAUGGUCUUGAUAUAUUGAAUUGUGCUAUCUCAUAGGAUGUUCUGCAUCUUUGCAUUAUCCCAAGUUCCAUUGGUAAUGAAAUGUCUUACUAGAGUCUCGGUAUUUUUCUCUGUUUCAUGGUAAUCAUUGGCUAGAGGACCUUUGCUACUCCAGUUGUCCCACCAAAAACUACAAUUUCCAGAAGGGUAGUAAUCAGAAAAGAAAAUUGUGGAGAUAGUAUAAACCAAGUAUUGGUGUUGUCAAAGACUCAGAAGCGAGGUGCAAAACAGUUCGAGUGCUUCACCCUCACUUAGUUGGCGCUUCAGUGCAGCCACAAAGGUACUAAAGCAUACACCUUAUCACCAAUGGGCUUUAUCCUUGCACGUAAAUUUCUAAAUUCUUUUAUCCUUACUAUAAUUUUCAUUUGUACAAUAAAUUUCUAAGUGCAAUAAUUUGGUUUCACAAGAAUGGUUUUGAUCUCAAUCUGAUUAGUUAUACACUUCUGAUUAAAGGAUAUUCAACUUUUGGCGAUCUUGUAGAGGUUGUUUAAGGAGAUAGAGCCAAAUUUUCAUUUAUACACCUCCAUAAUUAGUGGUUAGAGUAAGUUAGGUAAUGUUAUGAAGGAAUUUUCAACGUUUGUUGAAAUGGUGGAGAGAGGCCUCAUUCCUGAUGGUCACACAUAUGGAGCUUUGAUAAAUGGCUUCUGCAAGGAGCUGAAGUUUUACAAAAUGAGAUGCAAGGCAAGGACAUUAGCAUAGACCGGGUCAUAUUUAAUACGAUGAUGGAUGGUUAUUGUAAGCAAGAUAAUGUGGAUGAAGCACUGAGGCUACAUACAAUUAUGGAGGGUGAAGGACAUCAGCCUGAUGCAAAUGCUUACAAUAUAAUUGCUACGAGCCUGCUUAAGCUAGAAUUGUAUGAUGAAGCAAAAAUGUUGUUGCUCUCAAUGGUGGAUCGAGGUGUAGCUCUAGAUACAAUUAGUUAUACAACUUUGAUCGAUAUUUAUUGCAAGGAGGGAAAUUUUGUGGAAGCAAAAAGGGCACUUAUUGAGAUGGAAACUAAGGCAAUUAAGCCUAACACGGCAACAUACACUCCACUGGUAGAUGGUUAUUGCAAGCUGGGAAAAAUUGUUGACGCAAAAAGGAUACUUAGGGUGAUGGAAACUGAAGGAGUUAAACCUAACACAACAACAAACAGUGUCUGUGCCCUGAUAGACACUUAUUGUAAGCAAGGAAAUUUCAUCGAAGCAAAAACGACAUUUAGUGAGAUUGGAACUAAGCCUAACACAAUAAUAUACACUGCCCUGAUAGAUGGUUAUUGCAAGGUGCGAAAUCCUGCUAAAGCUGAAAAGGAACUUAUUGAGAUGGAAACUAAGGGAGUUAGCCUAACACGGUAACGUAUACUGCCAUGAUAGAUAGUUGUUGCAAGGUGGGAAAUAUUGCUAAAGCAAUAAAGGUACUUAUUGAGAUGGAAACUAAGGGAGUUAAGCCUAACACAGUAACGUACACUGCCCUGAUAGAUGGUUGUUGCAAGUGGGAAAUAUUGCUAAAGCAAUAAAAAUACUUAUUGAGAUGGAAAAUAAGCCUAACGCAAUUACUUACAAUGCUCUGAAGAUGGUUAUUGUAAGAAAGGUACGAUGAAAGAAGGUUUGAGAUGGAUACUAAGGGAGUUAAACCUAACACAAUUACUUACAAUGCCCUGAAGAUGGUUAUUGUAAGAAAGGUACGAUGAGAGAAGAUUUAAGGAUUGUCAUGAUGUCCAUACAUACACCUCUUAUAUUACAUUGAGAAUACAUAUCAGGAAAAGUAGAUGUUGCUUUGAAGCUUUUCAUCGAGAUUCCUACAAAGGGUUUAGUUCUGGAUGUGGUGAUUUUCAGAACGAUGAUUUCUGGCCUAUCAAAAAAUGGCAAAUCAAAUGAAGCCUUCAGAUUAUACAAUCUGAUGAUAGAGGCAAGCCUAACACUCGGUGUUGUUACAUACCAUGCACUUGUGGAUAUACUAACUUGUAAGUCAUUAAUUUCACAUAAGUCAGACCUAGCUAAUUGGAGGCAUAACAAAUUGUUUAGCACUUCUUCAUGGUGUUUUACUUGAGCAAACUGAAUUAUAUGGUGCAGGACAUCCUGCAGAAAUUUGGUGUUCCUAGCUUGUUACUGCAAAUCUUAGGUGUUGUCCAUGGACAUUGUCUGCCAUAAACUCAAGGUUGAUAGCGAUUUGAGACCCAAGAAAGAGCAAAACUGCAGCUCAGAAUUUAGCAGCUUGAUUUACUUCAUUUAGACAAUGAUCUAAGAAAACUGGAGAUAUAUAGCCUUAUGACUCUGUAAGUAUGCAAAUGACAUUACGAUAUAAAACUUGCUAUUAUUUGAAUCAACAUACUGUUGCCUUAAUAAAAAAUAUUUGAAUCAACCAUGAGAUUAAAUAACUGUGGGCUUUAAAGAUAAAUAUUGUUCAUUAUGAUGGGAAUUUACUUGCUUAGUGUGUAAUUUCAACUUUUGAGGCAUUUGGUUCAAAAUGUUCCGCUACAUGUUCAUUCUUAAAGCAACAGUAUUGCUUCUUAGGUCGUCUAGUACAUUAUUCUCUUGAAAAUGGAAGAACCAGAAUAAAAGAAGUGCGUUACUCUGGAGAUGUAUUACAAAUUUUAGGUUUUGUUACCUUUUUGGUUGAGUGGCCUAGCUUCUAAUCAUUUUUAUACGGUUAUAUGACCUAAAUUUUAACAUGUAAUAUAGAAGCUGGAUCCUUUUUAUGGCGGUCAUGUGAUUUAAUAGUCAGUUACCUUCAUUAGGAAGAAGAAGAAAAACAAAGUGACUACCUUGUUCCUUUUAUCAUUUUCUUGGAGUUCCAAUACAUAUAACUUCUUGCAGGGUGGGUCAAUUUACACCAGAACAAUCAUUUUUUGAAAGUCUUAACAAAAUUUUGCAAAGAAAGACUCUACUAGUCUUAUCUUGCCUACAAUACGAGAUUGACAACUAUCCCACAGGCCUGCCAUAGAUUUCUCAGUUAGUUGUUGCCUUGUAAAAUACUUUGGAUCAAGUUAUAGAAAACUUCCUUCCACUGCAGUAAGCCAGUACCUAACGUGUUUGAUCAAUUUCUGGACCAAUUCUUAAUAGUCCAAAAUCAAAAACUUUAGCCCUGAGAUUUUUAUCAAGCAAUAGGUUUGGAGAUUUGAUGUCAAAUCGGAUAAUUGUCUGGUGAAAAGUAUGAAGAUAAUGAAGUCCUCUGAGAGUUUCAGGCCUUUGCGUUCAAAUUUGGAAGGUCUGAGACAUACAAAUAAUCCUUAAAGAGUUCCAUUCACCAUUGUCAUAAGUAAUAAUCUUCUCAUUCUUUUCAUCGCAGUACCCAAUGAUAUACCUUUGCCAUUUUCCAACCUUAGUGAUACAUGUAUAUCCUACCUAUAUGUAGCAUCUAGAAUAGGUAACCACUCUACUUUAGUGUUACAUAAGACUCCUAUAAGAACAGAAGAUUACCUAAAUGAGUGUCUGGUUUCAUUUCAAUAUUCUAAAUCUGAUAUAGGGCAAAUUCAUUUUUUGCCGCCUCCGUAGCAAAAUUACAUAAUUAAAACACUCCUUCAAUCUGUGGCUAUAUACUGAGGUUAAGUCCUUAAUUUUCUCUCGAUACUUUAUUUGCAUUGAACUUCAUCCUUUAAUGUGGUUUCAAUAUUUGCUCGGCCUUUAUACGGGCUACACAGUUUAAAUUGCUCCUAUAACUCGAAAGUUCAGGCCAUCUCUUUGAAGUUCUUGACAAAUCAGGAUAUAGCGUAUAUACUAGAUUAUGUUGGCUACAUUGCACUAGGAUGAUCCCUCUAUCUAUUCAUACAUUAAUCCACAAAAUUAUUACAUGUCUACAUAAACUAGGUAUUUCUGUAGAGUUUAGCACUCUGUUUCAUCUGUCAAAAAUUGAAGCACCAGAUAACUAUACUUAUUUGUAUUGUUUGAUUGAUGUACAGUGAGUAAAUCUAUAUCUCCACUCAAAAGUUUAUAUUAUGUCCUCUGAUGCAGUAACUUCAAAGACAUUUCUGCAUUCAUAUGAGGACCAUUUUAGCUGCAUGUGCUCGAUCAUCAGUGGAGUACUAUGAAGUUCUCCUUCUGCAUUCCUCAUUUUCCUUACAAAGACUCAAGUCACCAACUUUCCUCUUUUUCUGAAUUUGUGAAGACAAUUCGUAUCAGUCUGUUGAUACACUUAGCUUUUUCAGAUAGAGAGAAGAUUCAAUUACAGUUGAGUGGAAUGGGGAGUUGUAAACCUUGAAGAGAUUGUUGAAAGAGAAGUGUUGACGAAGAUACUGAGCUAUGAAAACGGCGAAAAUUUUCUCUCUAUCUGAAAAAGUUAAGUGUAUCAACACACUGAUACGAAUUAUCUUCACAAAUUCAGAAAAAAAGAGAAAAGUUGGAGACUUUGAGUCUUUGUAAGGAAAGUGAGGAAUGCAGAAGGAGAACUUCACAGUACUCCACUGAUGAUCGAGCACAUGCAGCUAAAAUGGUCCUCAUAUGAAUGCCAGAAAUGUCUUUGAAGGUACUGCAAAUUGCAUUAAAGGAUAUAAUCUAAACUUUUGAGAGGAGAUAUAGAUUUGCUCACUGUACAUCAAUCAAACAAUACGAAUAAGUAUGGUUAUCUGCUGCUUCAAUUUUUGACAAAUGAAACAGAGUGCUAAACUCUAUAGAAAUACCUAGUUUAUGCAGACAUGUAAUAAUUCCGUGGAGCAAUGUAUGAAUAGAUAGAGGGAUCAUCCUAGUGCAAUGUAGCCAAAAUAAUCUAGUAUAUACAUUAUAUCCUGAUUUGUCAAGAACUUCAAAGAGAUGGCCUGAAUUUUCGAGUUACAGGUGCAAUUUAAACUGUGUAGCCAGUAUAAAGGCCGAGCAAAUAUUGAAACCACAUUAAAGGAUGAAGUUCAAUGCAAAUGGAGUAUCGAGAGAAAAUUAAGGACUUAAGCUCAGUAUAUAGACACAGAUUGAAGGAGUGUUUUAAUUAUGGCCGAAGGAAGAUUUCUGAAUAUUUACCUAAAUAAUCACACUAAAGUCUAGGCAAAGUCGUGUGGACAACAAUGGAUUGAAAAAAAGAAUAUUAUCGCAAAAGUCAAACUAAAAACUGAUUCCAAGGGCUAGGGGGAAUGGGUUGUUCCCUUGGAAGAUCUCGUCUUUAGUGAGAGACAUUAUUCUAUUAGGAAAUGAGAUGCAAUUAGUUUCGUUUAUAAAUUCUAAUAAGGCAAUGUACUAGAUGAUGUUCUAGCUAACGAUGUCGUUGAUGCUCAAUAAUAUCUUUUAUUUAUGUAAUUUUGCUACGUAGGCGGCAAAAAAUGAAUUUGUCAUAUAUCAGAUUUAGAAUAUUGAAAUGAAACCAGACACUCAUUUAGGUAAUCUUCUGUUCUUAUAGGAGUCUUAUGUAACACUAAAGUAGAGUGGUUACCUAUUCUACAUGCUAGAUGCUACAUAUAGGUAGGAUAUACAUGUAUCACCAAGGUUGGAAAAUAGCAAAGGUAUAUCAUUGUGUACUCCGACGAAAAGAAUGAGAAGAUUAUUACUUAUGACAAUGGUGAAUGGAACUCUUUAAGGAUCAUCGGUAUGUCUCAAACUUUCCAAAUUUAAAUUUGAACGCAAAGGCUUGAAACUCGCAUAGGAUCAGAGGACUUCAUUAUCUUCAUACUUUGCAGCAAGCAAUCAUCCGCUUUGACAUCAAAUCUCCAAACCUAUUGCUUGAUAAAAAUCUCAGGGCUAAAGUUUUUGAUUUUGGACUAUCAAGAAUUGGUCCAGAAAUCAAUCAAACACGCUAGGUACUGGCUUACUGCAGUGGAAGGAAGUUUUCUAUAACUUGAUCCAGAGUAUUUUACAAGGCAACAACUAACUAAGAAAUCCAUGGCAGGCCUGUGGGGAUAGUUGUCAAUCUCGUAUUAUAGGCAAGAUAAGACUAGAGUCUUUGCAAAAUUUUGUUAAGACUUUCAAAAAAUGAUUGUUCUAGUGUAAAUUGACCCACCCUGCAAGAAGUUAUAUGUAUUGGAACUCCAAGAAAAUGAUAAAAGAACAAGCUAGUCACUUUGUUUUUCUUCUUCUUCCUAAUGAAUGAAACUGACUGUUAAAUCACAUGAUAGCCAUAAAAAGGUGAUCCAGCUUCUAUAUUACAUGCUAAAAUUUAGGUCAUAUAACCGUAUAAAAAUGAUUAGAAGCUAGGCCACUCAACCAAAAAAGUAACAAAACCUAAAAUUUGUAAUACAUCUCCACCAGCAUCUCCAGAGUAACAAACUUCUUUUAUUCUGGUUCUUCCAUUUUCAAGAGAAUAAUGUACUGGACGACCUAGGAAGCAAUACUGCUUUAAGAACGAACAUGUAGCGGAACAUUUUGAACCAAAUGCCUCAAAAGUUGAAAUUACACACUAAGCAAGUGAAUUCCCAUCAUGACUUCGUAAUGAACAAUAUUUAUCUUUAAAGCCCACAGUUAUUUAAUCUCAUGGUUGAUAUUUCAUGUUGAUUCAAAUAUUUUUUAUUAAGGUAACAGUAUGUUGAUUCAAAUAAUAGCAAGUUUUAUAUUGUCAUCUGCAUACUUACAGAGUCAUAGGGCUAUAUAUCUCCAGUUUUCUUAGAUCAUUGUCUAAAUGAAGUAAAUCAAGCAGCUAAAUUCUGAGAUGCAGUUUUGCUCUUUCUUGGGUCUCAAAUCGCUAUCAACCUUGAGUUUAUGGCAGACAAUGUCCAUGGACAACACUAAGAUUUGCAGUAACAAGCUAGGAACUCCAAAUUUCUGCAGGAUGUCCUGCACCAUAUAAUUCAAUUUGCUCAAGUAAAACACCAUGAAGAAGUGCUAAACAAUCUGUUAUGCCUCCAAUUAGUUAGGUCUGACUUAUGUGAAGUUAAUGACUUACAAGUUAGUAUAUCCACAAGUGUAGGGUAUGUAACAACACCGAGUGUUAGGCCUGCCUCUAUUAUCUGAUUGUAUAAUCUGAAGGUUUCAUUUGAUCUGCCCUCUUUUGAUAGGCCAGAAAUCAUCGUUCUGAAAGUCACCACAUCCAGAACUAAACCCUUUGUAGGAAUCUCGAUGAAAAGCUUCACAGCAACAUCUACUUUUCCUGAUAUGCAUUCCCGAUGUAAUAUAAGAUGUGUAUGUAUAGACAUCUGGGACAUCAUGACAAUCCUUAAACCUUCUCUCAUCGUACCUUUCUUACAAUAACCAUCUACAGUGCAUUGUAAGUAAUUGUGUUAGGUUUAACUCCCUUAGUAUCCAUCUCAAAUCUUCUUUCAUCGUACCUUUCUUACAAUAACCAUCUUCAGGGCAUUGCAAGUAAUUGCAUUAGGCUUAAAUCCUUUAUUUUCCAUCUCAAUAAGUAUUUUUAUUGCUUUAGCAAUAUUUCCCACCUUGCAACAACCAUCUAUCAGGGCAGUGUACGUUACUAUGUUAGGCUUCACUCCCUUAGUUUCCAUCUCAAUUAGUAUCUUUAUUGCUUUAGCAAUAUUUCCCACCUUGCAACAACCAUCUAUCAGGGCAGGAUACGUUACCGUGUUAGGCUUAACUCCCUUAGGUUCCAUCUCAAUAAGUACCUUUUCAGCUUUAGCAAGAUUUCGCACCUUGCAAUAACCAUGUAUCAGGGCAGUGUACGUUACUGUGCUAGGCGUAACUCCCUUAGUUCCAAUCUCACUAAAUACCGUUUUUGCUUCAAUGAAAUUUCCCUACUUGCAAUAACCGUCUAUCAGGGAACUGGCACUGUUUGUUGUUGUGUUGGGCUUAACUCCUUCAAUUUCCAUCACCCUAAGUAUCCUUUUUGCGUCAACAAUUUUUCCCAGCUUGCAAUAACCAUCUACUAGUGUAGUGUAUGUUGUCGUGUUAGGCUUAGUUUCCAUCUCAAUAAGUGUCCUUCUUGCUUCCACAAAAUUUCCCUACUUGCAAUAAAUAUCGAUCAAAGUUGUAUAACUAAUUGUAUCUAGAGCUACACCUCGAUCCACCAUUGAGAGCAACAACAUUUUUGCUUCAUCAUACAAUUCUAGCUUAAGCAGGCCCGUAGCAAUUAUAUUGUAAGCAUUUGCAUCAGGCUGAUGUCCUUCACCCUCCAUAAUUGUCUGUAGCCUCAGUGCUUCAUCCACAUUACCUUUCUUACAGUAACCAUCCAUCAUCGUAUUAAAUAUGACCCGGUCUAUGCUAAUGCCCUUGCCUUGCAUCUCAUUUUAGCAAAACUUCAGCUCCUUGCAUUAGUCCAGCCUUGCAGAAGACAUUUAUCAAUGCUCCAUACGUGUGAACAUCAGGAAUGAGGCCUCUCUCCACCAUUUCAACAAACGUUGAAAAUGCCUUCAUAACAUUACCUAACUUACUAUAACCACUAAUCAUGGAGGUGCAUAAAUGAACAUUUGGCUCUAUACCCUCUUUUCUAUUCCUUAAACAACCUCUCAACCUCUACAAGAUCGCCAAAAGUUGAAUAUCCUUUAAUCAGAAGCGUAUAACUAGUCAGAUUGAGAUCAAACCAUCUUUCUCGAUUUUCCUCAAAAUCUCCUUUACAACCACAAAAUCUUGUAUCUUCAUAUAUGCUUGUAACAAUAUGUUAGAAGUGUAAUCACUUGGUUUCACCCUUUUACUAGCCAUUUCAUCCAUGAGUUUUCUAGCCUCACAAACCUCCCCCAUUUUACACAAUCCAUCAACUACCACCGUCAUCGAAUAAACUGUAAUUUUCACAUUAAAUUCAACCAUCUUAUGGAAAAACUCGAACAACGAGUCAUAUUGCCUUUGCCUUUUCAUAGAAAGCAAGUAAACCAUACAAGCUCUAUCAUCAAUUCUAAAGCGCCUUUUUUCAUAUAAUCAAAAACUUAUAGAGCUUCAGUAAACCUCAUGUAAUUAACAUAAACACUAAAUAACAUAUUAAACAUCUUCCCUAUAACCUUACACUUUACAUGAUUCUCAUUCAACAAAGAAGCUAUUUUUGAAUCUGGUUUCCUCAGACCAUCAGUAACAACAACAGCAUUCAAUAUAUUCUCAGCUUCAGCAAACUCCUUGGAUUUUAACAAGUCUAGAAACACGGCUAAAUGGGUUUCAAGAUUGGGACUUUGCUUGAAAUUGAAGAAAUUUGAGCAAGAAGAAGAGGAAGGGGGAAAUAGGGAGAUUAAUUUGGCAAUUUCUUUAAUUGGUCUAUUGGGAAAUCGUUGUUUUACCGGUUGAUAAACCUUUUGAGUCGACAUGUGAAUAACAACUCAAUACCUAUAAACUUGAGCAGUGCAAUUUGAAAUUUUCAUUUCUGAACUUUAGAAAUAUAGGUUACCUCUAUUUUGCCCUUGCUGGAAGAUGUUGAAAGGAGUCAAAAGAAGAAUUGUUUUCGACUGUUCAUUGCCAGUGCUACUUCGUUAGCCUCGUAGUGAGUUGCUUUAACAUUAGCUAGUUUCAUUCUUUGUUGUAUCUCCUCAAUAAUGAAAUUCAGCUUGUAGUUGGAUUGCUGGUUGUUCACAAUCAUCGGAAAUAGGAUCAAAGAGUCUGUAUCUUUGGUGAAGUUCUUCAGAUUUUU